Molecule: ribosomal RNA, 551 nt
Filed under: Salmonella enterica subsp. enterica serovar Newport
Lineage: Bacteria; Pseudomonadati; Pseudomonadota; Gammaproteobacteria; Enterobacterales; Enterobacteriaceae
Description: bacterial LSU rRNA
Rfam family: Bacterial large subunit ribosomal RNA
Source: RNAcentral
GGGUUGUGAGGUUAAGCGACUAAGCGUACACGGUGGAUGCCCUGGCAGUCAGAGGCGAUGAAGGGCGUGCUAAUCUGCGAUAAGCGCCGGUAAGGUGAUAUGAACCGUUAUAACCGGCGAUACCCGAAUGGGGAAACCCAGUGUGAUUCGUCACACUAUCAUUACGUGAAUACAUAGCGUAAUGAAGCGAACCGGGGGAACUGAAACAUCUAAGUACCCCGAGGAAAAGAAAUCAACCGAGAUUCCCCCAGUAGCGGCGAGCGAACGGGGAGGAGCCCAGAGCCUGAAUCAGCAUGUGUGUUAGUGGAAGCGUCUGGAAAGGCGCGCGAUACAGGGUGACAGCCCCGUACACAAAAGCGCAUGUGUUGUGAGCUCGAUGAGUAGGGCGGGACACGUGGUAUCCUGUCUGAAUAUGGGGGGACCAUCCUCCAAGGCUAAAUACUCCUGACUGACCGAUAGUGAACCAGUACCGUGAGGGAAAGGCGAAAAGAACCCCGGCGAGGGGAGUGAAAAAGAACCUGAAACCGUGUACGUACAAGCAGUGGGAGCAC